AUACGAUGAUAAUAAUGAUGAUGAUGAUGGAUGGUCAUGAUGAUGAUGAUGAUGAUGGAUUGGUUCAUACAGAGCUAGUUUCGGAGAGGCCAAAUUCAAGUCCCCAAAGCUCAAAAGCACCCUUGACGAAGUCAUAGUAGCCUCCCUUCAAAGCAAGUGUUCCCUUCACAAGUCCUUCUCUCACAAAUGGAUAUGUCAAUAGGUUUGCUAGUGAAACAUUCACCGCCUCCUGCAUUUAUCAAUACAUUUAUAUUGUUAUAUAUGAUCAGCUCAUCGAUCUAACAUGU
This 287-nucleotide small RNA is filed under the name Arabidopsis thaliana (thale cress). RNAcentral describes it as "ATSL129920". Lineage: Eukaryota; Viridiplantae; Streptophyta; Magnoliopsida; Brassicales; Brassicaceae. The record is from RNAcentral.